GUCAGGCCACUCCUCUCACCAGUGACCCUGUAAUCUCCGCAAGCAGGAAUGCCCGAGCCCCCCCCAACCACGCCCUCUUAGCCCUCAACGAUGACGUCACGCGCGGCGGAGGGCUGGUUCCGAUCGGACACUUCCGGUGGAAGGACGGAGCUGCAAUACGCCCCCAGGCGUCCUUCCACAGAGACUUUUGAGGCUGCGCAGAAGGAGACAGGCCGGCUUUGGACUGCGCUUCCCAGAAGCCUUCGGAUCUCCUCAGGAGCCGGGACUCCAUUUCCCAGGCGUCUUCGCUACGGUCUUGAAGUCCUCAGACUUGGAAGGAGAAGGCGUCUUUUCUUUGUAGUAAUAAGCUUGCCUCUAUAGCUCCCAUGCGGGCCUCAUCCUUGACUUCAUCCCAUUUCAGUAUGGGGCCGUGAAAUGGAAGCCCACGCAGCAGGGACGCGGCUCAAACUUCACCUUUGGACUUAUGGGAAACUUUUCCCAAAUCCUUGGUUUGUCCCUAACCCGGGUGGACCGCAGAUAUGCAAAACGGGGUUAAUCAUAACGCCUGGUUUAAGACUUUGCGUUACCCUAAAUUGUGAACAUUCUUUAAUCCAUUACCAAAUCUAUAAGAACCAGAACGUUGACAAUAACCUAACCUUUCCUACAACUCUUUCUCUUGUCUCCCUCUGUAUUUUGUGUCCCCUUACUUAUUGAGAAGAUAGUUCUGCUUGAUACAUACACAUGGCCAAACAAUAUAGGCUUUUAAUUUUAGUUGUUUUUGUCUGAAAGGCAUCAUGUCAUAGGUAAUCUGAAUUUGCUUCUUUUCACUCAAUAAGUUAAGAUAUACCCAUAUUGUUGAGUUAAAAUUCAUUUUCAUUACUGUAUAAUAUUCCAUUUGUGAAUAUAGCAUUGUGUUCAUCCUUUCUCCUAAUAUGGGUUGAUAACACUAUUAUCUCUCUUUUGGAUUACCGCAGUAAACUUUUUUUAACAUCUUUAUUGGGGUAUAAUUGCUU
This is a long non-coding RNA of Aethalodelphis obliquidens (Pacific white-sided dolphin), 992 nucleotides long. RefSeq lists it as uncharacterized. The transcript is spliced from 2 exons. Lineage: Eukaryota; Metazoa; Chordata; Mammalia; Artiodactyla; Delphinidae. The record is from RefSeq and is a predicted model, not a curated record.